Molecule: long non-coding RNA, 854 nt
Filed under: Aquila chrysaetos chrysaetos
Lineage: Eukaryota; Metazoa; Chordata; Aves; Accipitriformes; Accipitridae
Description: lncRNA (ENSACCG00020002102.1)
Source: RNAcentral
GGAAGAGACAGUGUCCUCCUGCUGCUCUUGGUUUGUGGUGUAUCUAUCUGCAGGACAUACAGAACUUGGUCUAGACAGCCUGGCUAAUUUAAAAGCCUUGGAAAUAGGAUCCUAUAAGGAGUUGUACAGGACAAAGUGCUCUUUGUCUUCCAAUAACAAAGUGUUGGAGUGACUUCAAGACCUGAUAUAUCUAGAGCUGGCCAGCCUGUGCCUUGGAGAUGUAUGCAGCUGUUGAGUGUUUCAAGGGUGCCUCUCACAUUGGGACAACAUCAUAUACAAAGGUCUCUCUGCUCACCAGGGCUGCUAGGUAGUCUGGUCUCGCUGUGGGUGGAAGUGAGCUAAAUUGCUACACCAGCAUCUCUGAGAUGCCCAAACCAUCUUGCUGUGGAGACAUAGGGUCUGGUCAGCCUCUCCUGCCUGGUCAGUUCCUCCUGGACUUCCCCCACCUCUCAGCUUACUGAGGAGGCCUGGAGAACACGUAUCCAUUCAUAACAAACUAUUCAAGAUUCACGGGCCUGAAAGGUCACUGUAAGUUUCUAUUGCUCUUCUGGUGCGAUUGGUAUAGAUCACGUCUUCUAGCAAACUUUAAGGAAGAAAGCUUUUGUUACAAGGAGAGAUGGUACGUUUGUGCACCCAACCUCUAUUUGGAAGAAUAUUUUGUUGUGAAACUUUUCUUCUUCUGGAGGCUUGAGCCAACUGCUUUUGAUCUGGGAGCUUACGGUGUGGGUAAGCACAGCCAUAUUAGGCUGGAUAGACGUCACCCUCAGGGAUUUGCACACAUAACUCUCCUUGACUUGAACUGGAGAAGGGCCAGAGUUUGUUCGCUUUCACUUUCUGUCACUGAGAAAAAUUAA